Molecule: long non-coding RNA, 212 nt
Filed under: Olea europaea (common olive)
Lineage: Eukaryota; Viridiplantae; Streptophyta; Magnoliopsida; Lamiales; Oleaceae
Description: long non-coding RNA (OEUR_LNC001811)
Source: RNAcentral
UUCACCACGGAAUUCAUGACCUCUACACACGAUUGCCUUUUCAUUGAUACCACCCACAACAAAUCGUUGGCCACACAAUCCCAAUCAUGAACCGCCACUGCAAAGGCCUACACCACACCCUUCAACACCAACCGCAUUUUACCCAAUUUUACCUUGUCACCAUCAAUUAACUACUACAUCGUCACCCACAAACCAUACAACUACCAUUUUAC